CGAACGGGGAGGUGUGCGGCGCGGACGCCGGCGACCUCCCGUCGACGGGGAGCUUCUCUGCCUCGCUGGAGAUGCGUCCCUGCUCGCGCGCCCGACUAUCCGUUGAGCAUGGAUCCCGGCUGCAACGUGACUUUUGUUGAAAAAAUUCCUGAAACUCGACCGUUGUUGCAAAAAAAAUCUUUGUAAAAAUACCUAUGUUAGAGAAAGACGAAGAAAAAAAAUCUACAACAAGC
This 233-nucleotide long non-coding RNA is filed under the name Hordeum vulgare. Its description in RNAcentral is "long non-coding RNA (HVUL_LNC005363)". The record is from RNAcentral. Lineage: Eukaryota; Viridiplantae; Streptophyta; Magnoliopsida; Poales; Poaceae.